AUGGAGGGGAACAGCAACGGCAGCAAGAUCAAGGAAGGGGGAGAUGAUGGUCUGCAACAGGGUGUGGCCAUCAUGGUCAAGAAGCAGCAGGUCACCAUGGGGAUGGAGGUCCUGGACUGCCCACUCUGCUCCACCCCCCUCAGCCCUCCCAUCUUCCAGUGCUCAAUGGGGCAUUUCAUCUGCUCGUCCUGCCGCGACAAGCUCCCGCGUGUGCUCCAAACCCGUCUCGGACCGGUGCCAUGGCAUGGAGCGCGUCAUCGCCUCCGUUGUCGUUCCGUGUUCCUACGCCGCGCGCAGAUGUGCCCACGUGAUGGCCUACCACGACAAGGCGGAGCACGAGGAGUGGUGCCCGCACGCGCCAUGCUUCUGCCCAGAGAAAGGCUGUGGCUUCGCCGGCACCAAGGCAGCACUCAUGGACCACUUCGCCGCCUAGCACAAGUGGCCUGUGAAAGCGUUCAAAUACUACGAGCCGUUCGAAGUGCCCGUGAAGGCCGGCAUGCACAUCCUCUGGUGCGGUGGGGAGGACAAAGAUAUCGGCCUCUUCCUGCUGAAUGUGACGUUCCCGGAGUCUCCCCUCCAUGGGGUCUCGCUGGUCCGCGUCCAUCCGCACCCGCCGGAGUCCAGGUUCGGAUGCUCAGUUGGCUUCUCGUGGUUCAAGGGCCAUUACCAGGUCUCAACGGCUGA
Molecule: ribosomal RNA, 684 nt
Filed under: Triticum aestivum (bread wheat)
Lineage: Eukaryota; Viridiplantae; Streptophyta; Magnoliopsida; Poales; Poaceae
Description: partial small subunit ribosomal RNA
Source: RNAcentral